This 253-nucleotide ribosomal RNA is filed under the name uncultured bacterium. RNAcentral's name for it is "partial 16S ribosomal RNA". It matches the Rfam family "Bacterial small subunit ribosomal RNA", at positions 524 to 776 of the family's 1533-position model. The record is from RNAcentral.
UACGCAGGGUGCAAGCGUUAAUCGGAAUUACUGGGCGUAAAGCGUGCGCAGGCGGUUUUGUAAGUUUGUCGUGAAAGCCCCGGGCUCAACCUGGGAAUUGCGAUGAAGACUGCAAGGCUUGAAUCUGGCAGAGGGGGGUAGAAUUCCACGUGUAGCAGUGAAAUGCGUAGAGAUGUGGAGGAACACCGAUGGCGAAGGCAGCCCCCUGGGUCAAGAUUGACGCUCAUGCACGAAAGCGUGGGGAGCAAACAGG